Molecule: unclassified non-coding RNA, 310 nt
Filed under: plant metagenome
Description: partial contains 5.8S ribosomal RNA, internal transcribed spacer 2, and large subunit ribosomal RNA
Rfam family: 5.8S ribosomal RNA (bases 1-105)
Source: RNAcentral
GAAAUGCGAUAAGUAGUGUGAAUUGAAGAAUUCAGUGAAUCAUCGAAUCUUUGAACGCACAUUGCGCCCCUUGGUAUUCCAUGGGGCAUGCCUGUUCGAGCGUCAUUUGUACCCUCAAGCUCUGCUUGGUGUUGGGUGUUUGUCCCCGUCUCCGCGCGUGGACUCGCCCCAAAGUGAUUGGCAGCCGGCGUACUGGUCCCGGAGCGCAGCACAUGUCGCGCAAACGAGUGCCUUGGUACGGCGGCGUCCAUAAGCCCCUCUCUCACGCUCUUGACCUCGGAUCAGGUAGGGAUACCCGCUGAACUUAAGC